ACUGCCUCAGGCGGUGGUGAGCCUGUUUCAAACAGAGGCAGGCUGCUUCCUGAGGAACCAGCCCCUCGGGGCUUGACGCCCUGAUCCCGGGUCGCUGGCCGGGGGCGGAGACGGGGAUAGCGAGCUGAGUGUGCGAGCGCCAGGGGUUCCAGCUGCACGUCCCAGGCUCUCCAGCGCGCGGCAGGCCGGGGCGGGACGAGGAGAGCUGCGGGGACAACGCCUGUGGCUGGGUCCGGAGGGGAGAUUCACCGAGUCCCCACGCAGCGCAGGCCUUCGCAGUUCGACAAGAAAAUCCUGCUGUGGACAGGGCGUUUCAAAUCGAUGGAGGAGAUCCCGCCUCGGAUCCCGCCAGAAAUGAUAGACACCGCAAGAAACAAAGCUCGAGUGAAAGCUUGUUACAUAAUGAUUGGACUCACAAUUAUCGCCUGCUUUGCUGUGAUAGUGUCAGCCAAAAGGGCUGUAGAACGACAUGAAUCCUUAACAAGUUGGAACUUGGCAAAGAAAGCUAAGUGGCGUGAAGAAGCUGCAUUGGCUGCACAGGCUAAAGCUAAAUGAUAUUCUAAGUGACAAAGUGUUCACCUGAAUACCAUCCCUGUCAUCAGCAACAGUAGAAGAUGGGAAAAAUAGAAUAUUUACCAAAAUAUCUGCCAUGGUUUUAUUUUGGUAACAAGAAGCACAAUGUCUUUUUUAUUUUUAUUUUUUAGUAAACUUUUACUGAAGUAUACCAUGCAUUCAAAAAGUGGACAAAACUGUAUACAGUCUGAUAGAUAUUUAUGUCGUGAACACCUGUGUAACCACUGCCAAAGUGAAGAUGUAGAAUAUUGGCAACACUUCACAGCCUCAUUCCUGCCUUUUCUCAGCCAUUACCUCCCAAACAUAGCAGUUUUUCUGAGUUUCAUCACCUUUGAUUCAUUUUGCCUGUUUUUGAACUUUAUAUAAAUGGAUUUAUACAUUA
RNAcentral lists this long non-coding RNA (955 nucleotides) under Homo sapiens (human). RNAcentral describes it as "HSALNT0112226". Lineage: Eukaryota; Metazoa; Chordata; Mammalia; Primates; Hominidae. The record is from RNAcentral.